UACAGAGGGUGCGAGCGUUAAUCGGAAUUACUGGGCGUAAAGCGCACGUAGGCGGCUUUGCAAGUCGGGUGUGAAAUCCCUGGGCUCAACCUGGGAACCGCGCUUGAGACUGGAGAACUAGAGUUCGGGAGAGGAUGGUGGAAUUCCCAGUGUAGAGGUGAAAUUCGUAGAUAUUGGGAAGAACACCGAUGGCGAAGGCAGCCAUCUGGACCGACACUGACGCUGAGGUGCGAAAGCGUGGGGAGCAAACAGG
RNAcentral lists this ribosomal RNA (253 nucleotides) under uncultured bacterium. RNAcentral's name for it is "partial 16S ribosomal RNA". It matches the Rfam family "Bacterial small subunit ribosomal RNA", at positions 524 to 776 of the family's 1533-position model. The record is from RNAcentral.